This is a long non-coding RNA of Rhineura floridana, 690 nucleotides long. RefSeq lists it as uncharacterized. The record is from RefSeq and is a predicted model, not a curated record. The transcript has 3 exons. Lineage: Eukaryota; Metazoa; Chordata; Lepidosauria; Squamata; Rhineuridae.
CAGGCAGAACAAAAGCCUUCCUGUUCUCCUACACAAGUGCUGCCCAUCAUAGAAAGGGAAUUGGAGAAACAAGCCCAAGGCUCCUCUGAAGACUUAACAUUCUGUUCGCAUGAAUUAUAAAAUAAUUUGACAUGGAAGCAGCAAGCCAAAAAACAAAGUAAGGGAGGAAAGAAAAGAAAACAACAGACUAUCAGCAGAAGUUUUCACUGUGAAGCAAAUGCGAAAGGGGAAAGGAAAAAAAUGUCCCAAAUGAGAUGGAUGUACAAUGGGGAAAGACUCGGAAAUAAGUUUCUAGGAGCAACCUUGCAUUGGAUAAACUAGUUCUGCUGUAAAUUUACUAAGCAAUGUUUUUAACAGACAUUUGGGUAGGAAUGCCUGAGGAAUUAUGUUUGGAUUGCUUCUGGCAGCAGAUGAGCCCAAUCCAAAGCUCCUGAAAGAAUAAAACUCCUGGAUGAACUGUGCACUUAUCUGGAUUUUGCAGUGCAUUUUGGGUGUGCAAAAGUGCAUACAAAAAUAGAUAUUAUGCGUACAAAAUGUGUAUUUUACUGGUGACUGCACUGAUAAGCAUUGUUUUUAAAUUGCUGAUUGGUUUUCAGAGCCUGCAAAAAAAGCUUUUUUGUUUAAGCAUGUGAUUUUAGAAUGUAUAUAAAGUAAAACUGCUGGUUUUAUUUAUGUUUUGAUACAUUUUAG